UACUGUGGAAAUUUUCCUUAGGGCAGAUGGUCAUACAAGAAAAUGCUGUGGGUUUUACUGAAAAUAAUUAUUCUUUACCUGCUCUGCAGAACUUCAGACAAGAAUGCCCAGCUUCCCAGGUUGAAAUACUGUGCAUCAGACAGUAUAAGCAUUCCUGGAAGUUACAAGAGAUUAUGUGAAAGCGUUAAAAUGUUUUUGCAUUAACAUAAUUUUUAUUGAAGAGUUGUGCUCCAAUGAUGGAGAACAAAGGAAGAGCAUGUGAUAGAAAUGUGUAGUGUAAACAGCUCACAUUGCUCCUAGCAAUUGCAUGGUUUUAAUUUGGUAACAGAUUAUGAACUGUAUUUGUAAAAAUUAUUCAGCAGUUUCAAAAACCACAAAUAUUUAGGAAAGCUGUGCCUUUCUGGAGGCACCUGGCAACCAGAUAAAGAACCAAAGUUCAUUAACAGAUGAGUCAUUGCUUCUAUGUCCUUGCCUGAGAUAUCCACAUAAAAUCUCACUGACUUCAGCAGGUGGUGUGGUCAGACUAAAGGAGAGUGUGGUCUCUUGGCCAGGUUCUGGCCUGACUUCAGGCUCACACUGAUUUGUUGGUGAUUUUAAGCAAGCAGAGAGGAAAGAGUGCUUCAACUGACAAGAUUCAUUAGCACUCCUCUUUCUCCCCUUCCUCUUCUCAUCCCAUCCCUCUCACUGCUUCAUCUGCUCUUUGUAGGGCCAGGAACUUGCUGUCCUUUUUUCCAGGUGGUGACCACAUGGCUAAUCUCUCUGCAAGGCCCUGGCUUGCUGGUGAUAUCCACAUAACUUAAUGGCCGUCCUGGGCUUCUUCCUGAUACCUUGUCCUUGCUACACAGAUGAUUGUUGCUCAUGAAGCAGCGUCUGAUUUACAAAUUAAAAACUUUCAAUAGUUCUCUGUAUUUUAUAUUGAGUUACAGAAGUACUGAUCGAGUUGACUACGUGGAUUUGCAACCAGCAGCUCAGCAGCUGCUUCAUGAACCAUCCUUCGAGGAGGGGAACAUCACAAAGAUGGGCGAGUUGGAUGCUGAGAGGUGGAAAUUGGUCUAUUCAUCCCAAGAGAAAUCCUCCCCAGUUAUUCCUUUAGCAAGGAAGAUAUGA
RNAcentral lists this long non-coding RNA (1107 nucleotides) under Lonchura striata (white-rumped munia). RNAcentral's name for it is "domestica (Bengalese finch) lncRNA (ENSLSDG00000013743.1)". The record is from RNAcentral. Lineage: Eukaryota; Metazoa; Chordata; Aves; Passeriformes; Estrildidae.